AAAGGGUCCGCAGGCGGGUUUAUAAGUCAGUGGUGAAAGCCUACAGCUCAACUGUAGAACUGCCAUUGAUACUGUAGAUCUUGAAUUCGGUCGAAGUGGGCGGAAUAUGACAUGUAGCGGUGAAAUGCUUAGAUAUGUCAUAGAACACCGAUAGCGAAGGCAGCUCACUAGGCCUGGAUUGACGCUCAGGGACGAAAGCGUGGGGAGCAAACAGGAUUAGAUACCCCAGU
RNAcentral lists this ribosomal RNA (230 nucleotides) under uncultured bacterium. RNAcentral describes it as "partial 16S ribosomal RNA". It matches the Rfam family "Bacterial small subunit ribosomal RNA", at positions 562 to 791 of the family's 1533-position model. The record is from RNAcentral.